Molecule: transfer RNA, 74 nt
Filed under: Corvus cornix cornix
Lineage: Eukaryota; Metazoa; Chordata; Aves; Passeriformes; Corvidae
Description: tRNA-Thr
Rfam family: tRNA
About the family: Transfer RNA (tRNA) molecules are approximately 80 nucleotides in length. Their secondary structure includes four short double-helical elements and three loops (D, anti-codon, and T loops).
Source: RNAcentral
AACUCUAAUAGUUUAUAAAAACAUUGGUCUUGUAAGCCAAAGAUUGAAGACUGAACAUCUUCUUAGAGUUUCCA